AAGAAUUUCUCUGUAAAAUCCCAUGACGUGAUGAAAAAUACAUACAGCCAACCAUGCAAAGAUGUCCACUCUUCGAAUCAUAUAAUCCCUCAGCAGAAAUUUCAAUUGUCAAAGGAGUAUGCUCAUCACUGUACAAGAACUGAGAUGGAGCAACAAAGUGCAGUACAUAGCUUAUAUUGACCACAGUGCUCUGAUUGUUGUUCACUUGAACAGAAG
This 216-nucleotide unclassified non-coding RNA is filed under the name Hevea brasiliensis (rubber tree). The record is from RNAcentral. Lineage: Eukaryota; Viridiplantae; Streptophyta; Magnoliopsida; Malpighiales; Euphorbiaceae.